UACAGAGGGUGCAAACGUUGCUCGGAAUUACUGGGCGUAAAGCGCGUGUAGGCGGUUUCGCGAGUCCGAUGUGAAAGCCCGGGGCUCAACCCCGGAAGUGCAUUGGAUACUACGAAGCUUGAGUGCUGGAGAGGAAAGCGGAAUUCCCGGUGUAGAGGUGAAAUUCGUAGAUAUCGGGAGGAACACCAGUGGCGAAGGCGGCUUUCUGGACAGACACUGACGCUGAUACGCGAAAGCGUGGGGAUCAAACAGG
This 253-nucleotide ribosomal RNA is filed under the name uncultured bacterium. Its description in RNAcentral is "partial 16S ribosomal RNA". It matches the Rfam family "Bacterial small subunit ribosomal RNA", at positions 524 to 776 of the family's 1533-position model. The record is from RNAcentral.